Cercocebus atys (sooty mangabey) is the source of this 2871-nucleotide long non-coding RNA. RefSeq lists it as uncharacterized. The record is from RefSeq and is a predicted model, not a curated record. NCBI's taxonomy places the organism in Eukaryota, Metazoa, Chordata, Mammalia, Primates, Cercopithecidae. The transcript has 2 exons.
CCCCCUCGCCGGCCGCCCCUGCGCCCACAGUGGGGGUGUCGGCCCGGGAGCCUGGAGCCGGGGACGGUUGUAUGUACACACACACACACACACACACACACACGCACACACAGAACACGACGCGUCGAUUUCCUUCGCUCCUCUUCCAGCUGUUUUCCGUGCAGCCGAUUGGGGUUUUGGGUUUGUUUGCUGGUUGUUGCUUUUGCCCCUCUCGGGAGAUCGGGUCCGGAAAUCGGCUUUGAUAUGGAACUACUCCGCUCUAGCCUGGAAAGGAGACCCGCGCACUCCUCUCGCAGCUAAUUUGGGAUCAUUAAUUUAAUCGGAAAUGAGGUAACCAGUGUAGGAGACAGAGAAAGCAACCGGAGCAUCAAAUGGCAGUUCUCUACAAUCGACGAGGAACUUAAAUCUGGACUCAGGGUUUCAGUGCGGUCCCCGACUCCCACCACCCGGCCCCUCCGCCUGUCCCGCCGCCAGGUGUGACCUCCACGCGAAGGAAUCUUCUGCGGAUGGGUGCACCUUGCCAACAGGUGUGGCACCUGGAGGAUUAAGAGGCGCCUCCAGACUAAGGGCGCUCAAUGUGGUGUUCUUGUUGCAGAUGAUUCUGGAAGGCCAGUAGGUGUCGGGAGACAUUUGACCUUCUUCAGGUGCUUAGAACCAAGUGUCUGGAAACACGAUCCCUUCGCGUAAGUUUUUUUCUGAAAGACACCGCUCUUGACUCUAAGCUGUAUUUGAGAGACCUUUUGGCUCAGUUUACUUAAGACCUAACGGUUAGUCACCAACUGAGGCAGGGCACAGGAUGACCAAAAAAAAAAAUGUGUCAGUUUUUACACAACUCUGGCCUGCAAGAGUCUACGUGCUUCAUAAAUAAAAAUAAACAUCCGAGCGAGGAAGGUGCAGAGCCCCGGAAAUAUUUUUUCUCACGUUUUUGAAGUACCGUGCACAUAUACGUGGCUAUUUAAAUGUAACUACUACUGUUCACUGUUACUCAUUUCUACAACUUUCUUUUUUCCAUUUAAAAAUCGAUUAUUGUUACGGUUUAAACCUCGGGUUGGUCUAAAGUGACAUUGUUGGUCUCAUUACAGCCUCUAGUGGACAGUUAACAUCGGUUUCCUGAAGAGGCUCGGACUGAUUUUGUUUUCAUUGACAAGCUUGGCCAAGGUGAAGGUUAGUACGUAAGAGCAUAAUCGGGUAAAAUGUCCCCCUACCCCUAACCUCACCCCCGCCCCCAACACCCUACUUGGCAAAGACGACUUCAGAAAGGAGCAGUGGCUUGUUGGCUUUGUAUAGAAAAGACGUAUGCUUUGUGCUGCAGGUAUUAUUAUUACUGGACUGUGAAUAAACAGAAAGCGUCUGCUAUUCAUUUCAGUUUCAGACAGCUUUCAUAAAAACUAAAUUCAUCUCAAAUAUUUUUAUAACAGAAAAUAUUGGUUGCCAUGUUUUUGGCUUAACUGCGAUGUUUUUAUUCCAACUCAUAAUCUGCAAACUGUCCAAUCCACCUCCACGCUAUUUUUAGACAUCUUACAUUUAGAUAAUUUUCAGUUAAAAAAAGCUAAUAUUGUAAUUAUUACGUUGGCACAAGCAGUUAAUUUAUGUGAUUUUAGCAACCUUGAAUUAAAACACAUAAUUCAGAUUAGAGUUAGUCAAUUAAUUUAAAUGUUCUCUCAAGGAAGCUAAAUAUGUAUAUUACCCAAAUGGUAAAAACAACUAAUAAGAAAUGUGUCAUUUACUUUCUUAGCCAUUAAGAUUAAAGCCAUAAACUGCCACCAAAAUCUGUAACUAUUUCUUCCUGCAAGAUCCAACAUAAACACCAUACUCAUGAAACAGUCUCAUUACCUUUAGUACUGAAAUAUUUUGUUUUCAGAUGGCAAAAUAUUAAAUGUACAAUCGCAAAUAACAGGCACUGAUUCUUUAGAAACAAGACUUUCUCUUGCAAAUAAAAACUCAAUGAAAAAGGGCAGAGCUUCCAAGAAGCUAGUAGGCAAAUAUAUAGUACUACAGUCCUACUCAUAAGGCUGAUGUUAUAUUUGUAAAAGCAUAAGUCAACCUUUGAAAUUACAGGAAAUCAAUAAAUAAGGCCUGAUGAGCUUGACUCGUAUCCUGUGUCAUAGAUUGCUUAAAUACCAUGAAAACUAAUUGCAAUCACAUAUCUAUUUUACUGUUUUGGUGGUAUCUACUCUUGAAGGUUUUAAAUGGGCCAGCAAGUAUAUAUUAUAUAAUGACAUAUUACACCUUCACUUCUUAAAGUAUAGUCUUCAAAGUAGCUGCAGCAGCACUUGGGAGUUUUUUAGACAUUCAGAGUCAAGGGUUCUACCCCAGACAUACCAAAUCAGAAUCUGCCUUUGAACCAGGCCCCAGGGGAUUCCUAAACACAUUACCAUGUGAAGAACACUGGUCUAUACCACAGGGAUCAACCUAAAUAAAUGCAGGCACAGGUGCAGAAGUUAAUUCCUCUAUUUAUUUCUUUUUUGCUCCUUUUUAGUAAAUACAGCCCUUUAUUAAUUUGUGCUUUUCAAUGAAAAAUUAUUACGUUAUAUGCUUUGGAUAAAUACUACUGCAUUUUAAGUGCACACAUCUGCAUAAUUAUUGCCAAAAGAGAAUGCUCUGCUGAGGAAUGUACUGGGGUCUUGAACAUGAACAUUUUCUUCAUGGCAGCAGAGGGAGCACAAGAGUGCUUAAUAAAACCAAUGCACAGGUCUCUCCAAAUCAUGACAGAUUUUAAAUUGUAGUAUAUGUUUUUAUUGGAAGUAGCCCAUUACGUAGUUCAAAAUGAAGCAAAUCAACCAAGCAAACACAAAUAGGCUUACCAGGUCAUAGUAACUAUGUAAUUGAACAGAUUAAAAGUUGAAUAAAACAAAGAUAAAGUUCUUUAGA